RNAcentral lists this transfer RNA (63 nucleotides) under Moellerella wisconsensis. It matches the Rfam family "tRNA", at positions 6 to 65 of the family's 71-position model. From Rfam's summary of the family: Transfer RNA (tRNA) molecules are approximately 80 nucleotides in length. Their secondary structure includes four short double-helical elements and three loops (D, anti-codon, and T loops). Further hydrogen bonds mediate the characteristic L-shaped molecular structure. tRNAs have two regions of fundamental functional importance: the anti-codon, which is responsible for specific mRNA codon recognition, and the 3' end, to which the tRNAs corresponding amino acid is attached (by aminoacyl-tRNA synthetases). tRNAs cope with the degeneracy of the genetic code in two manners: having more than one tRNA (with a specific anti-codon) for a particular amino acid; and 'wobble' base-pairing, i.e. permitting non-standard base-pairing at the 3rd anti-codon position. The record is from RNAcentral. Lineage: Bacteria; Pseudomonadati; Pseudomonadota; Gammaproteobacteria; Enterobacterales; Morganellaceae.
CUUAGCUCAGUUGGAUAGAGCAACGGCCUUCUAAGCCGUAGGUCGCAGGUUCGAAUCCUGCAG